RNAcentral lists this ribosomal RNA (89 nucleotides) under Theobroma microcarpum. Its description in RNAcentral is "partial 5.8S ribosomal RNA". It matches the Rfam family "5.8S ribosomal RNA", at positions 30 to 118 of the family's 154-position model. From Rfam's summary of the family: 5.8S ribosomal RNA (5.8S rRNA) is a component of the large subunit of the eukaryotic ribosome. It is transcribed by RNA polymerase I as part of the 45S precursor that also contains 18S and 28S rRNA. The record is from RNAcentral. Lineage: Eukaryota; Viridiplantae; Streptophyta; Magnoliopsida; Malvales; Malvaceae.
GCAUCGAUGAAGAACGUAGCGAAAUGCGAUAAGUAAUGCGAAUUGCAGAUUUCAGUGAGUCAUCGAAUCUUUGAACGCACAUUGCGCCC